RNAcentral lists this long non-coding RNA (6282 nucleotides) under Homo sapiens (human). RNAcentral describes it as "HSALNT0142917". The stretch from base 1281 to 1384 matches the Rfam family "Small nucleolar RNA U13". Lineage: Eukaryota; Metazoa; Chordata; Mammalia; Primates; Hominidae. The record is from RNAcentral.
AGAGUUAACAAGUUCCACCCCCACACACUGAGUUUCUAAUUUGCUUUUAAGCGUCUCAUUUCAAAAUGUGAGCCUUAGUCAAUGACCACCAAAACUCUGAGGAAAUUCCCUAACUUGAAAAAUACAAUUGACUCUCCAAAAACUUAACUACUAAUAGCCUACUCUUGACUGGAAGACUUACCAAUAACAUAAACAAUCACUAAACACUUUUUUAUCAUAUAUGUAUUAUAUAUUGUAUUCUUACAAUAAAGUAAGCUAGAGAAAAGAAAAUCUUAUGAAGAAAAUCAUAAGGAGGAAAAAAAUAUGUAUUUUUUAUUGAGUGGAAGUGGAUCGUCACAAAGGUCCUUACCUUAGUCAUCUUCACGUUGAAUAGGCUAAGGAAAAGAAGCAAGAGGAAGGGUUGGUCUUGCUGUCUCAGGGUGCAGAAGCAGAAGAUAAUCCACAUAUUAGCAGACUCAGGCAGUUCAAAUUCAUGUUAUUCAAGGGCCAACUGUAAAGGCCAAAAUAUUAUGGGGGAAAAAAAAGCAACUUAUAGAAAACUCUGCAGGAAAAUAAAAACUUCAAAAGGAAACUAUCAUCAACAUCCUCAGACAAAUAGGAGAAGUUAUUGUAAUUUAUUAAAUAAAAACAAUAUUCUGGCAAAAGGAAAACAAUUGUAAAACAAGAUAGUAAUUAUAAAUUCAAAUUUGACAGCCAGAAUGAAAAUUUCAGUCAAAUAGUUAGAAGAUAAAUUUAGGGAAAUCUCUUAGAAAGUAGAAUGAAAAAUCAAAAAGAUGGAAGAUAUGAUAUAAAAGAUAAGAAAUAUAGAAAAUCAUUCUAGGAGUUCAUCAACUGAGUAACUAAAAUUUCAGAAAAAGAACUUGAAAAAUAGAAGAAAAAAGACACAAGAAAUAAUCCAAGAAAUUUAUCAGUACUGAAGGGCAUGAGUUUCUAGACUUAAAAGGUACAGUAAAUAUUCAGUACAAUAGAUAAAAAUAAACUCACACUAAGUUCCAUCAUCUUAAACUUUCAGAACAAUAGACAUAAAAGAGGGAAUUUUAAAACUUUUCAGAAAAAGGUAAAAAUCAUUGCUCAAAAUACCAAAAUGACUGUGAAUUUCUCAACAGCCCCAGUAGAAGCAAAAAGAUAAUGUAACAAUGACUUUAGAAUUCUGUAGAAAAAAAUUAUUUCUAGCCUAGAAUUCUACACCUAUCAAAGUUAACAAUUAAAUAUUUGGGUGGGAUACAAACAUUUCAGACAUAAGUCUCAAAACAAUUACCUGCCGUGAGCCCAUACUGGAGAUCCUUUUGUAGUUCAUAAGCAUGAUGAUCGGGUGUUCAUGUCCGAGCAUGAGAUGUGCCUCCCUCAAACCUUGUUGUGACGUUGGCACAUUUCCCAUCUGAUGUGAAAAAGGAAAAAAAAAAAAAAGAAGAAGAAGCUACUAGGUAAGUCCAAAAUUAUGAGGCAAAGCAAGAAAGAGGAAGACAUGGAGUCUGGGAAAUGAGAACGUCAAUCCAAGAAAGAGCAAAGGAAAUCCCAGAGAUAAAGGCAAAGGGAGAUCCAAGUAUAGCCAUGUACUCAGCCUAGAAAUAAACUAGUCCAGGCUGGAGCAGCUCUGUAGGGUACAGGAAAGAUGAUCGAAAGAUGGCUUUGUUAGAAUACCGGAUGUGAGUGAGUGUAUUGAGAGGAAAUUUAAACAACCGAGGAGAAAGUUUGGAGUGAAUUAGUGAUAGAAAACAAAACAAAGGAAGAAAAAACAAUAUAACUAUUAACUCCAGGAAAACCUAAAGAUUGUGCAAGAAAAUAAAAGUAAGCACAUUUCAGCUGUGAAGAGUAUUUAUAGGGACAGGAAAAUAUACACACUGAAUAUUAACCUAAGCAAAAUUAUGAAAUAACAGUAGUGGGAUAAUGAGAGCAUGGGGGUCCGGGGGUUCAGGAACCGUGCAUGAUGGGGCAUGGUAGAAAUGGUAAAAGAGGGCUAAAAUAGUGAGAGGCUAACAGUUAAUGCUUAAAGCAUUAGGCAAAAAAGAAGGAGCACUAUAAGCAUAUACCAGUGACAUGGAGGCGAUACCAAAAUAACCAGCUGCAAGAGCUGAAUGUGUUGAUUCUAGGAAGCAGGAAAUGCUGGGUCAAGAGAAGAGUCUAUUAUUUUUCACUAUGCCUUCUAAAAUUAUUUAACCCUGAAAAUCAUGUGUGUGUAUAAAGUUAAUCAAAAUUAAAACUAAAUUUUAAAAUAAUCAUGCAUCAAUGAUAAAUUAAAAGGAUGAUUUUAAUUUGGCUUCUCUUUGUCAUGUGCACACAUAGACACACGGAGCCAUUUGGGCAAUACAUUUUGCAAAGCAUCUAAAUGCAUGAAAAUAUUCCAGGAAAGUGUUAAUGAUGGCCUAGGCCAAUCUGUCUUUUGUAAAUAAUUUCUCAGGCAAGUAUACUAAUUAGAGCUAAGAUAGGCAAAUGAUACAACAACCCACCAAUCAAGAGCAUUUGCUGCUCGUCUAUUGAACACAUAGCAAUAAAUAUUCAACAUUCUGUGGGGUAAACAACCAAGUGUAAGAUAUGGUUUCUGGCAUUAUGGAUUUUAUGAUCCAAUUAAAGACAUGAAACAUAAACUUUUGUAAAGUUAAAUGACAGUACAAAAUGUAUAAAUAAGGUUUUAUUUAAAAAGUAAAAGAUGUUGCAAGAUAAUACAUGACUUUUGCUAAGUCGAUGCCGCAGACUACAGAAGUGUUAUUGUUUAGAACAAAGAAAAGUCAGGAUGCAGGGAAGGGAUCUCAGAGAAAAGAGAUUAGAAAUAGGUCUUGAAAAAAUGGGCUGGAUUUGAAUGAAUGGAGGAAUAGGGGAAUUCCAAAGGCGGAUCCAGGAAAGGAAGAUGUCGUCUUGGCACCGUGAAGAGAUUACAGGUUUCAGAGCCUAGGCGUUUGAGUGACAGCCUGCUCACCAGAACGGGACAGCAAUUAGCCUUUGGCCUGAGGAAAGCAACUUGUUCAGAAUAAAGUAUUUUUAUCACCCACAGUGAGGCCAAGAAUCCAGUCAGAUGUCCUGUUGGGAUGUGAAUCUGUCAUUUUAUGAGCUCAAAAAACCCCAGGAAUGGCUUCGAAUCCAUGUUACAGGUCCGAGUUCCCUGGAAACAGCAAUUGCCUCUUAGCAAAAUCAUUAAUUAGGGCAUUGCCUUAAUUCCAUUGUGAAUAAUAAAAAUAUGUGCACAGACUUCUGUACUUUGAUGAAAGCAUCAGGGUGUGAUUUAUGGGGGAAGAUGCUCUCCGGGGAAUAUAAAUAUGUAAGCCUUACAUACUUAUAAAGUUCAAGCACAUUACCUCUUCAACGGCUUUCAAAACUAAAGUGACCUCAGUUCAGUCAAAUAAAUAGGACAGACAUGUAAAUUAGCAAAAGAAGUGCUCUGACAUUUAUGCAAGGCUUAUAUCCCACGAUGAACAAUAUCUAGAUCAGUGGGAAGUCGGAAGCAUUCUAUAUGUAGCUAUCGCCAGACAAAUCUAAACACUUGGUAGGCACUCAAAAAAAACUUACUGAUUUUAAGUAAUUAAAGGGGAUCUGGUGGGCAGAUACAAAAAGACAGAAGUCGCAUCAUGAGGCAAGGUUGCGACCGGAGUCUUUCUAGCCAGUUCCAGAAGAGCAGGUGGUUAUAUCCACCAGUGCCCAGAAGAGGGCAGCCAAGAGCUGCUCAACUGGAACCUUCCUGGGAAGGACACCCACUUGGCACCAGCCAGGGUAAACUGUCCUCUCCCCGGCACACAGAACAGAAUCAGCCCAGAACUGAUUGGUGAAGAAGUUUGGGGAGAAAAAAAGCAGGGGUGGGAAACAUGGACUAAAGGUGUUCAAGACAGAUGAAGAACCAGACCAAGAAGAAUCAUGGAGAAGCCAGAGAAUGGAAAAGAAAGACAGCAGCCAGAGGUCAAAGGAACAAGGCACAGGAGUGCAGCAGCCCUGACCUUGCCACUCCCCUGCUCAAAAGAGUUCAAUGGCUCCCUACUGUCCAUCACACAAACUUCGUAGCCUGACAUUCAGGGUCCCACUCUAAUCUAACCCUAACCCACCUUAAGAAUCUUGGGAUUUGCUAGGUUUUUAAUCAUACACUCAAGAUUCCAAGCAAACCAAAGUCUUUCUUGUGACUUUCUUCCUCAGUGUCUUUGUUCCUCCUGUCCCUUCACUCACUGCUCUAAACAAUGAGUGGCUGCCACAUACUAGUAAUGAGAGGAAGGGAUACAGGAUCAACCAGAAGAAGUGCCCACCUUCAAAGCUGCCAGGAAGAGACAGUGCCAUGUACUACCAUGAGGGAAGCAAGAGUGGAUGGGGUGGAGAGAUAAGUGGCUAAGUCAGGCUGUCCGAAAAGGCUUCUUGGAGGAGGUGACCAUCCCCCUGAAAUCACCUUGCCUUUCCUCUCCACUCAUCUAAACCUUCAGCGCCUGCUGAAGGACCAUCUGUUGUUUUCAUCUGCCUGCCUGCCUAUUCCCACUCCUGGUAAAAUAUUCCAUCUCCUCCUUUAGGAAACUGCUCCCUACCCCAUCUGCCAGGUAGGCUGAUCUGGUAAUGUGGUUGAUCAUAUUACCCCAUCCUCUGAUCCACAGAGGUUGGUUCAAGGAAGAUCCUUCAAGACAGACUAAUCAGAUGUCUUCCCUGGAGUUUUCCCCUCCAUUUUGGAAUUGAAGGAAUAGCUAGCUUUCUCUUUCCCCUGGAUUGGAAGCUGACAAGAUAGAUACCAGAGCUGCUGAUGCCAUGUCCCUUGCCUCAUGGAGGAUUCUGAGAGAAUAAACUGGAAAGAGAUGGAGAAAAUUGACACUAUACAAAUGCCAGAAUUCAGUUGCCCUGAAUUAGGGCAAGGCCUCUGCUCCACUGUGAGCAGCAAAAGCCCAAUUCCAGAGCUCAGCCAAAGGAGUUUGUUUUUCUUGGGUAGCAGAUGUUUAAAAGGCCAGUGGACAAGCUCUGCUGCUCUGGCUUCAUGAUGACAUCAAAGACCGUUUUCCUCCGCCAUCCCCAUCACAUGAAUCUCCUCAUGCUCCAAAAUGAUUGCUACAUCUCUGGGGUUAUAUCCACAUUCCACACUGGAAGGGCAGAAAGCAUGUGCCCAUUGAGGGUAUCCCUUUUCAUCAGAAAAAUAAUAUAUUCCCAGAAAACCCAACCUGUAUCCUUCUGCUUACAUCUCAGUGUUCAGAAGUGUCACAUGGCCACCCCUCACUGCAAGGAAGUCCAAACAGCUGAGUAUUUUUAACUGGCAUACUGAGACAACAGAGGAAAUACACAUUGUGUAAGUAACUGGUGGUAUCUGCUCAAGUCCUAAAUGUCUUUGUUUGCCUGCAUAAACCCAUAAAUUCUCCUUUUUUGCUUAAGCUAGCUGGAGAUGGGUGUUUGUAACUUUCAAUCAAAAAGCCAUGGCUAAGACACCUGCCAAAUGCCACCACCACCAUAGAGCCUCCCUGAUCUCACUACAUCAGAAUAAUCUUGAUGUCUUCAACUUCCAACAGGUCCUUUUCCCACCAGCAACCUGAGGAAGGGAAAUCACAGGGACAGGGCGAUCGCACCUAGGCAGCCAAACCCCACCCCAGCAGCCAAAGCAGGCAGAAGAACCCUGCCAGCAGGAUUGCUGGAAUCUAGCUCUCUUCUCUCUCUCGCUUCACCUGCGAAGGGCCACAAAAGAGCUGUUUCAAAGCCAUCAGCAUCAUGAACCCAGCCACUGCUAUUGACCCCAUAUGCUGAACCCAGCAAUAAAUACUAUCCAGGGCUUGUUGCUGGCAAGAAAGGGGGAGAGAGCAACAGCCCUGAUUUGCCACUAAAACACUUAAACAUAAUAGGAUACAUCUACAGGAUGAAGCACUAGAAAGGAAUAAAAAGAGAAUGAGGAAGCUCUGGAUGCAUUAAUGUGAAACACUUCUAAAACCGUUACUAAGAGGAAAAAAGCUAAUUGCAAAAUGGUGCCCGUAUAUAUAUGAGAUAUAUAGAUAGGAUAUAUAUAUACACAUAUAAAAUAAUCAUUUGUGAUAAAAGAAAGAAAAAUAGUAUCUGCACCAAUAUUUGUACCUGCAGAAAAUAUCUCUAGAAGGAUAUACAAUGCAAGAGACUGGUACUUUUGGCUGCCUAUAGGGUGAAGAACAGGAAGGCUACAAAAUAGGAGGGCAAUGUUUCUCCGUACGCUCUUUAAACCUUUUGAAUUUUGGACCUAGGAGUGAACCACCUAUUUGAAAAAGAAUGAAAAUAUGUUUCUGUAAGUAAACACAUUACAGUUUGUGCUGGUAUGUCUGGUAUGUUUUGUUUAGUUAAGGCAAAACAAUAGGAAGGAUGAAAUUGGCAAACUGG